RNAcentral lists this ribosomal RNA (440 nucleotides) under uncultured bacterium. Its description in RNAcentral is "partial 16S ribosomal RNA". It matches the Rfam family "Bacterial small subunit ribosomal RNA", at positions 338 to 795 of the family's 1533-position model. The record is from RNAcentral.
CCUACGGGAGGCAGCAGUGGGGAAUAUUGCUCAAUGGGGGAAACCCUGAUGCAGCGACGUCGCGUGAAGGAAGAAGUAUUUCGGUAUGUUAACUUUCAUCUGUAGGGAAGUAAGUGACGGUACCUGACUAAUAAGCCCUGUCUAACUACGUGCCAGCAGCCGCGGUAAUACGUAGGGGGCAAGCGUUAUCCGGAUUUACUGGGUGUAAAGGGAGCGUAGGCGGCGUUGCAAGUCAGAAGUGAAAGCCCGGGGCUCAACUCCGGGACUGCUUUUGAAACUGUAUGGCUGGAUUGCAGGAGAGGCAAGUGGAAUUCCUAGUGUAGCGGUGAAAUGCGUAGAGAUUAGGAAGAACACCAGUGGCGAAGGCGGCUUGCUGAACUGUGAAUGACGCUGAGGCUCGAAAGCGUGGGGAGCAAACAGGAUUAGAUACCCUAGUAGUC